This 1353-nucleotide ribosomal RNA is filed under the name uncultured bacterium. Its description in RNAcentral is "bacterial SSU rRNA". It matches the Rfam family "Bacterial small subunit ribosomal RNA", at positions 18 to 1393 of the family's 1533-position model. The record is from RNAcentral.
CCUGGCUCACGAUGAACGCUGGCGGCGCGCCUAACACAUGCAAGUCGAACGAGCGAGAGAGAGCUUGCUUUCUCGAGCGAGUGGCGAACGGGUGAGUAACGCGUGAGGAACCUGCCUCAAAGAGGGGGACAACAGUUGGAAACGACUGCUAAUACCGCAUAAGCCCACAGCUCGGCAUCGAGCAGAGGGAAAAGGAGCAAUCCGCUUUGAGAUGGCCUCGCGUCCGAUUAGCUAGUUGGUGAGGUAAUGGCCCACCAAGGCGACGAUCGGUAGCCGGACUGAGAGGUUGAACGGCCACAUUGGGACUGAGACACGGCCCAGACUCCUACGGGAGGCAGCAGUGGGGAAUAUUGCACAAUGGGGGAAACCCUGAUGCAGCGACGCCGCGUGGAGGAAGAAGGUCUUCGGAUUGUAAACUCCUGUUGUUGAGGAAGAUAAUGACGGUACUCAACAAGGAAGUGACGGCUAACUACGUGCCAGCAGCCGCGGUAAAACGUAGGUCACAAGCGUUGUCCGGAAUUACUGGGUGUAAAGGGAGCGCAGGCGGGAAGACAAGUUGGAAGUGAAAUCCAUGGGCUCAACCCAUGAACUGCUUUCAAAACUGUUUUUCUUGAGUAGUGCAGAGGUAGGCGGAAUUCCCGGUGUAGCGGUGGAAUGCGUAGAUAUCGGGAGAACACCAGUGGCGAAGGCGGCCUACUGGGCACCAACUGACGCUGAGGCUCGAAAGUGUGGGUAGCAAACAGGAUUAGAUACCCUGGCAGUCCACACUGUAAACGAUGAUUACUAAGUGUUGGAGGAUUGACCCCUUCAGUGCCGCAGUUAACACAAUAAGUAAUCCACCUGGGGAGUACGACCGCAAGGUUGAAACUCAAAGGAAUUGACGGGGGCCCGCACAAGCAGUGGAGUAUGUGGUUUAAUUCGACGCAACGCGAAGAACCUUACCAAGUCUUGACAUCCCUUGACGAUGCUGGAAACAGUAUUUCUCUUCGGAGCAAGGAGACAGGUGGUGCAUGGUUGUCGUCAGCUCGUGUCGUGAGAUGUUGGGUUAAGUCCCGCAACGAGCGCAACCCUUAUGGUCAGUUACUACGCAAGAGGACUCUGGCCAGACUGCCGUUGACAAAACGGAGGAAGGUGGGGAUGACGUCAAAUCAUCAUGCCCUUUAUGACUUGGGCUACACACGUACUACAAUGGCGUUAAACAAAGAGAAGCAAGACCGCGAGGUGGAGCAAAACUCAGAAACAACGUCCCAGUUCGGACUGCAGGCUGCAACUCGCCUGCACGAAGUCGGAAUUGCUAGUAAUCGCAGAUCAGCAUGCUGCGGUGAAUACGUUCCCGGGCCUUGCACACACCGC